RNAcentral lists this unclassified non-coding RNA (237 nucleotides) under plant metagenome. Its description in RNAcentral is "partial contains small subunit ribosomal RNA, internal transcribed spacer 1, and 5.8S ribosomal RNA". The record is from RNAcentral.
UUUCCGUAGGUGAACCUGCGGAAGGAUCAUUACCGAGUGAGGGUCUCCCAGGCCCGGCCUCCCACCCUGUGUUUUUGUCACCUUGUUCCUUUGGCAGGUCCGCCUCGAUGAGACGCGGCCGGAAGCUCACCGGUUUGGGCCCGUUCCCGCCAGUAGCCCCCUUAAAUUCUUAAUAAGCCUGUCGUCUGAGUCUGGAUAUAAUAAAAAAAACUUUCAACAACGGAUCUCUUGGUUCUG